CCGCCUGCUCGAGUCGCGUUCAAAGCUGUUGACAUGGUUUUGUUGAAGCCGACGCAAUCAAAGCUCACAUCAACUCCAGUAACCAUUGUGCUUUGUAUUUUUGCCACUUCUUCAUCUAGAUCCUUCAGAGGUCAAAACCAAUAGUAUUGUUAAAUGGAAAGAAAUGGAAUCCCUUACCAAAUGAUAGAUUUUCAAGGCACUAGAUAUAUGUGGUAACUCCUGGUUCAACACCCCUGGUGCUUAGGCCUGGAAUGAAGGAAAUAUACUUGGAAAUAGUUAGACCAAACCUGAAUAUUCGUUGAAACCCGGAUAAUGUCGUCUGCGCCAAGAUCUUUUGCAAUAGCUAGUCGCUGAUCAUCUACGUCCACAAGGACAAUCCUCGGCGCUCCAAAAGCACGAGCAGCCAGCAUUGUGACAAGGCCGAUGGGGCCUGAUCCCAUGAUCAGUACGUUGGUCUCAGGGCCAACAUUAGCACGGCGACAAGCAUGGAUGCCGACACUGAGCGGCUCACACAUUGCUCCUUCCUCCAAGCUCACAUUGUCAGGUAGCUUGAAACAAAGAUUUGAAGGAUGGACCACCUAGUACAAGAAAGAGCAUAUUGUCAAGGCCAGGCAUCAUCCCCAAAUGGUCACUCCAAGCUAAAGGAAAACCCACAUCAAAGAAGACCCAACAAACCAUAAAAACUAAAAGCUCUGUUUUCAACAGAGCAAUUACCUGGUUAGCUAGAGAACCAUUGGUUGGAGGAGAUCCAAAAAACUUCAUUUCUCUGCAUAGAUUGUAUUGACCAUUCCUGCAAAGACUGCAUCGGUUGCAGCUAAUACCGGGCUCCAGAGCAACCCGGUCACCUGCUACAAGAUUCUUCACUUCACUCCCAACUUCUUCUAUGAUGCCAGCACACUCAUGCCCUAUCACCAUUGGCUUCUUCACAAUGAAAUUUGCGCACCUCAUUGUCUGAUAAGAUUGAGAAAAAAGAAAAAGGAAAAAACCCUGAAUUAGUCUUUGAGUCAAGAAGGUCUAUAGUAGAAAGCAAAUGAGAAUUGCAGAGAUGACUCCACCUUGAAGUGAUGAACAUCACUUCCACAUAUCCCUACAGCUUUGAUCCUAACUUUGACAUCAUAAGGGCCUAAAACAACACAAAAUUAAAGGGAAAUUAUGAAAUGAUACUUGAAAGAAAUAAAACAUAAAGGGAGGAAAAGGAAUGAUACCCAGAGAAGGGAGAAUGUAGGGUUGAAUCUUGAGGGUCUUGAUGCCCAGAAGCCAAGCUGCCAUGUUCUCCUCUCCAUGCUCCUUGCCUGAAACAGCAUCCUCAGAAUUGCCUCCUUUCCCCAUCUCUCUCCCCUGCUUUCACAACUCACACACAGAGAGCUCUGGACCCUCACUCUGAGCUUCUCACAGGCUUUAUCCACCCAAUGGAAUCAAUCCUUUUGGGUAUACGUCCAAUCACAGCCACAGCUUGUCAAUUAUUCUGAUAUCCUGUUGGCCCAUGAGCUGCAAUCAAUACAACUUUUCCUUCUAUAAUUGUUUUUUCUUCAAAUUUAUCUCCCCGUAACAAAAUGUCAGAUUUUGUUUCCCUUCUUGUUUGAGCUAAAAGCUGUUUCCUCGUCAUUUUCUCCUAUUUCCACGUGUGACUUUUUCACAAGAUUUUUUCUCAAAUGUUAAGAUACCAUAAUUCUUUAUUCCACCUCCAAGAUUAUCCCACAUUUGAAAUUUAUUUCAAAUUAAAUUUAGAUAAAUAUGAAGCAAUUUAUUUGAAAUUAAAUUUGGAUAAUCGUUUCUAACGAUGCCCAUCGGAUGGGGGUUCCAAAUAUUCUUUUCUAAAUCUCAGUUCGUACCAUUUUAAUACGAAUGUGUUUGCUUUUAUUAUAUAGAGAACGUAUUCAAUACUAAAUGUUGGACAAUGGUCCCAUCUCCCAACUACUCUGUCUUAAAUGGCUCCUCCCCUUUGGAUGGGUUUUUGCUAUUCAAAAAAUAUUUUUCCAUUGGGAGGAUUAAAAAUAAGUAUCUCCAAACUGAAUGACCUUCAAGCAUGAAAAUAUUGGUUAUUUAAAAACUAUUUUUAAAAAUAGAUUUUAAAAACAGUUUUAAAAAAAUUUUGUCUAAUAUUUUAUAAAAUAAAAAUUUAUUUAAAAAUCUAAAAUAUUUUUAACUUGUUUUUAAUAUUUUUAUAUAUUUUUUAAAAAUAAUUUUUAUACCUCGUAUUUUUAUUUUUAAUUAUUCUAUGUAUUUAUAUAAUAAAAUUUUAAAAUAAUUAAAAUAAUAUUUUAUAAAAACACUUUAUUUUUUAUUUUAAAAAUAAAAAAUAAAAAAUAAUUUUUAAUUAUUAAAUAUGUUUUCCUAAUUUUUUAUUUUAAACAACAAAUAACUGCUAUAAAAAAUAGUUACCAUUGAUAGUCAUUCUAUAAAUAAAAAAAUAAAAAAUAAAAACUAAACUUAGUAAGAAAUCUCUCUCUAUUUGCCAAAUAGGUGAAUAAAAAUUUUAAAAUUUAGUUAUUUACACAAUGAAUUUUGCUCCAAAAUAUACAUACCUAUAAAAUUUGUACUUUUACCAAGUACUUGAUAGAUAAUUUGUUAAACAUCCCGAGUUUAAGACCAAAAUAAUAUAUUUAUAAAAAAAAAUGAUAAGAAUAGUAUCCAUUUGAAAAUAUUUGUCAAAGUAGUCUUCUUUAUCCACGUAAGCAUCCACAUGGAUUUUAGAGUUUAAGACCAAAAUAAUAUAUUUGUAAAAAAAAAUGAUAAGAAUAGUAUCCAUUUGAAAAUAUUUGUCAAAGUAGUCUUCUUUAUCCACGUAAGCAUCCACAUGGAUUUUAAGUGUAAAGAACCACCGUUAGUGACUGUGGUUUUAGAACUUACAAAAAUUUCCUUAAAACCACAGUUACAAACUGUGGUUUUACAAUUUCUCUUAGAACCACAGUUACUAACUGCGGUUUUAAAAGAAGUUUCCUUAAAACCACAGUUACAAACUGUGGUUUUACAAUUUCUCUUAGAACCACAGUUACUAACUGUGGUUUUACAAUUAUUUUUAAUCCAUUCCCAUUUUAAUGGUGUUAUAAUUUUAAUAUUAUUUUUAAAAUAUUUUUUUUAUCAAAACAACCAUAAAACCACAGUUAGUAACUAUGGUUUUACUAAUGGUGUUGUAAUUUUAAUAUUAUUUUUAAAAUAAUUUUUAUCAAAAUAACCAUAAAACCACAGUUAGUAACUGUGGUUUUACAAUUAUUUUCAAUCCAUAUCUAUUUUAAUGGUGUUGUAAUUUUAAUAUUAUUUUUAAAAUAUUUUAUCAAAAUACCCAUAAAACCACAGUUAGUAACUGUGGUUUUACAAUUAUUUUCAAUCCGCAUAUAUUUUAAUGGUGUUGUAAUUUUAAUAUUAUUUUUAAAAUAUUUUUUUAUCAAAAUUACAAUUAUGUUGUAAUUUUCACAAAUAUUUUUAAGGGGACUCAUGUAUAAAAAAGUAUGGGAUUUUAGAACUUUGCUUUUCACAAAUUUUUUUGUUACGACUGUUUUAAAUAUGUAUGUAUAUAUAUAUAUAUAUAUAUAUAUAUAUAUAUAUAUAUAUAUAUAUAUAUUUUAUCUUUAUUUUUUCAUAUUUUCCUUGAAAAUUUGAGAAAAUAAUUUGGUCUACAUGCAUUCCCAUAAAAAUUUAUAUAUUUAUAGUAAAUAAAAUAUUUAUUUGUUUUACAAAUAUUUUCACAUAUGAACUAAAGAAAAUUAUUUAUUCAUAUUAUUUUUAAAUUUUAAAAUAACUAAAGAAAUUGUUUAUAUUAUUUUAAAAUUUUAUCUUUUCAUAUGAAAAUUAAUGUCAGUGAUUAUGAUUUUAGGUUAUUUAUUAUUAAGUAUGAUUUGAACUUAUGUCUGGGUUAAAAUGUAUAAUUUUUUAAUUAUAUGAAAGAAAAAUAGGUAGUGGUUGUAAUAAUUUAUUUAGUUAGAAUUUAUUUCAUUUAUACUUUAGGAUGCAUUUGAGUUUUAUUUGUUUAAAUUAUCAAGGAAACAUGUGAAUAAUAUAACAUCACUAAUUUGAAUAACUGUGGUUUUAUGGUUGUUUUGAUAAAAAAAAUAUUUUAAAAAUAAUAUUAAAAUUAUAACACCAUUAAAAUGGGAACAAAUUAAAAAUAAUUGUAAAGUUAGGAAAUUGUAAAACCACAGUUUGUAACUGUGGUUUUAAGGAAACUUAUUUUAAAACCGCAGUUAGUAACUGUGGUUCUAAGAGAAAUUGUAAAACCACAGUUUGUAACUGUGGUUUUAAGGAAAUUUUUGUAAGUUCUAAAACCACAGUUACCAACGGUGGUUCUUUACACUUAAAAUCUAUGUGGAUGCUUACGUGGAUAAAGAAGACUACUUUGACAAAUAUUUUCAAAUGAAUACUAUUCUUAUCAUUUUUUUUUAUAAAUAUAUUAUUUUGGUCUUAAACUCAAACAUCCCCAUCAAAUAUGUAUUGACCCCUCCUCCCCACUUGCCCACCUACCCCCCUUGUUUUUCUUUUUUUCUUUUUUCUUUUUCUCUAAUUUAAAAAAAAAAAAUUUGAGGAUGGCAAUUAAGUGGAAAAGAAUGAAAAGGAAAGAAAAGGAAAAUAAUAAAGAUGUUAUGUUGGGUUUUGAUGAGUGUCGGUGGGUUGGAAAAAAAAAAGGGGAAAUGUUAUUUUCAUGCCUAAAUAGGGUGGGGGGUGGAAGUGAAGAAAUUUUGCAUUCUUAUCUUUAACGGUAGCCAAAUUAAAUUUGGUGUGGUGAUGUUAUGGAAACAAUCAACAUAAGUUGACCCAUCCCAACAUCAACUACCCUGAUGUAAUUGUUAUAAUUCUAAUAUUUAUAAUUUAUAUUAUUAUAAUAAUCUUUAUUUUAAAUUUUUUUUUAAGUAUUUUUAGAGGACAACGACAUUAGACAUUAAAUUGUGUCUAUAUUUAGAGUCAUGUUUGAUUGUGAUUCUAUAAAGCGUUUUUAGUGUAAAAAGUGCUUUUAAAAUAAAUUUAAGUGUUUGAUAAAAUUUAAGAAAUAUUUUAAAAAAUAUGAAAAAUUAUUUAUAAAAUUAGAAAAUGAUUGAAGUGGUUUUUCAAAAUUUUAAAAGCGUUUUCUAAAAUUUUUCAAAUACCUAUUUUUUUGGUAAAAAGGUUUUCUAGAAUCAUUACAAAACAAGUUCUUAUCAUGUCCUCUAAGUAAACACUUUCAUUAAAAAUUAUUUCGAGUAAAAAUAUUAUUAAAUGCAAUCUUAAAGUGAAUUUGACAGUAUUUCUAUUCGAAGUAUUUUAAAAAUAAAAAACAUUAUAAAGUGAUUUUUCAAUAUUAUAAAUGAUUUUUAAAAGUAUUUUUUAAAAUUUAUUAAAUAUCUUAUUUAAAAAUAUUAAAUUAAAUUAUAAACGCUUGUAAAAAUCAUUAUCAGAAUACUUAAUAUUAUUUUAUUUUUAUGGAAAUAGAUACUUCCUCUUUUAGAUUAUUAAAUUUAUUAAACAAUACAACUCCUUGGACGGGGUCAAACAAAAAUUUAAUCCUUCAAAGCUCCUUAAAUUUGACUUGACCAACUUGGUAAAAUCAAAUCUCAACUCAAAUUUGAAAAACAAAAUAUUAUUGAAUUGAACUCUUGGGUCCGCUUAUUUGACACGUAACCCAUUUUAAUUUAAUUUUGAUGACUCGGAUUUGAUGGGUAUUUUUUGUCCCGAUCCCAAAAGUUAGUUGUUUGUCCUUGGUGUGGCAGAACUUAUGUGAAAGUGGCGCAAUAUUUGUCAUGAGAAUAUAAAGGGUGGUACCACUUUUAUAAUAGAGACGCCCCUGUGAGGCUGCACAUGUCAUUUUAUUAUUGUAUGCCAACCACAAGUAGUGGGGCCCACCCCUGACCCUUCAACUUUUUUGAAUGCACACGUGGUUGGCCCCCACCCACGUUCAAUUUUUAUUGAAUUUAUCAAUUAUUUUCUAUUUAUUCUAGGUCUCAAAUGGAAGUUUGGGAAAUGAUAAGAAACGAAAAAAAAAAGGGAAAAUCUAAAAAUAAAUUUUAUCCUAUUAAGACUUUUAGAUUAUAUUUCAUUGGGAAAAAUUUGAGACAAAAAUGUUAAAGAAAGAAAAUAAAAAUCAAAUUUAAAAUAAAUAAAUUAUUUUUAUACAUCACUUCAAAUUCAUUUCAUAUAUUUUUUUUUCUUAUAUAUAAAUAUUAAAUAAUGUAAAAAUAUAUAAAUUCUUAACUACUUUUAAUUAUAUUUUUUUUCAUAUUUUUAUAAAGAAAUCAAAUAUAAGAAAAUUAUUUUUUUAUUUUUUUAUUACUUUUUGACAACCAAAUGUAACUUUAUUUUUUAUUUUAUAAUUAAUAUUAAUUUUUAUGUUAGGUACAAACCCCUCUUACUUUUCAUUUUGUACUUAAUUGAUGUAUUGAAAAUUGAUCUUCACUUGAAAAAAAAAAAAAAAGUUUGUGUUGUUUUGUCAAGCUUCAUAAAGUUUUUCAAGUGGAAUCUGACUCCAAUGCUUAUGAUUUUCACAACUAUAUGAAUGAAACAUAAAUGAUAAUGAUGGUCCAUAUAAUGGGAUUCCAUAUUUUUUCUUUUUUCAAUUUUAUAUUUUGAUGGGUAAGGUUAAUGGGAUUCCAUUUUUUUUAUAUAUAUUUCUUAAAACAAAAAGCUACAUCAUGAUUGGGUAUUUUCCUUUAUCAUGAUUCAUAGGAAUAUGCCAAAUUACCCGACAUAUUCACAAGCAUAUUAUUAUUAUUAUUAGUAUACAAAUGAGUAUUUGAUUGAUUGAAUAUGAUAUAAGAUAUGAUAAGAGAAAAGAUAAUAUAUUUUAUUUUAUAUUUGCUUAGUAAUGGAAUAAGAUAAAUUACUUUAUCGUUUAUCUUAUUUUAUCUUAUGUUGAGAUAGGAUAAGGAGUGGGAUAAAAAUAUUCAUAUUUAUCAUCUUUUUUUUAUUCUUUCCGCAUUGAAUAUGUUAAUCCUAAGUUAAUGUUUAAAAUUUAUUUUAUAAAAUAAAAAAUUUUGAUAAAAAAUAAAACUUGUGGUUGAAAAAGGAGAAAUAAAAAAUAUUUAUGAAAUAUAUUAUAAAAUGAUAUUAAUAUAAUAUUAGUAAUAUAUGUAUUAUUGAAUAACAUAAUAUAUAAAAAAAUUAUAAAAUUUAAAUAUUUUAAUCAUAAAUAUUAUAAAUGAAAAAUAAAUUUCAUAUUAUUUUUAAUUAUUAAAUAUUGGAAUAUAAUUUUUAUUUUUAUUUUAAACAAAUAUCGAAGAUUGAAAAGAUAAUAUAUUAAGAUUCAUGUAUAUUAGAUUUAAUAUCAUCAUAUUGUUAACCCCAAGAGUUCUUCUAAGUAAGUUUUGAUAAUAACAAAUCAUGGUUAGUUUUCUAAUAAAUUUAAAUCCAGAUGAGUUUGGGGUGUUACUGAAGAAAUUCAAUUAGAAAAUCAAGUUAGAUCAAAGAAACUCAAAGAUAAUCAUUUAAGGAUUAAAGAAGUGCAAGAUCAAGUAUGCUUAAAGGUCUUUCAAGUUUAGGAAUCCUAUAUGAGAUGUUCACUUGGGUGUACUUAGGAUUUUAAAUUCAAUCCAUGCAUAUUUUUCAUACUCAUCUUUAAGUCUUGAAAGUGCAUAUAUUUAUACGCUCAAGUUUUGAUCCAAAACUUUAGGCAAUAAUCUUUCAAUUACGUAUCAUCAAGUGAUUAAAAUUGUUGCCUAAGUGGUAAAAAGUUUUAAACCUGAGAAGGAUGGGUUUUCUAGUUAGGGAAUAAGUCAACCAGUUACUUUUUCUUGGUCAAGGUCUGAUCAAGGGGGCAUUGAAUUUUUGUCUCUCAUCCAAUAAACUUGUCUUCUCACCUUCCCAAUCGAGCUCCCAACGGUUACUUGUUAAAUAUUUAAUGCCCAAGGGUUAGCGAACCAAUUGACUUGAGCUUGAAAAAGCCCGUUGGAGCACUUUUUAGUAUCCCAAAUUGGAAACUUAUAAAUUGAGAGCUCUAUUUCAUUUAUAAAAUAGAGAAUAUUUGUUUUAAAUUUUUUACCAACCUAUUUCUCAUAUUAAAAAUCUCUCAUUCUUUUUUUGUGCAUUUAACUCUCAUUUGCAAAUCAACCUAGUGCAUUUUAGUUAUUCAUCCUAGCCUUCUUGUUUCUUGUUUAUUAAUUGUGUUAGGUUGAGUGUUCUUCUAAUCACAUUUAUUGAAGUGAGGAUCAAAUGUUAAUCUUCAAGUUUAGGAUAGACUUGAACAAUUGAUCGUAAUGUUUAUUGGAGUCGAAAAUCCAAUUGUAAAGACUUAAGAGUUUGAUGGAAGCUUCAAAUUAGUAGAACCUUCAUUUGAGAGGAACUUAAGGAGGAUGAACAUAGACGAAAUUGAUAGAAUCACUAUAAAGUUUUUCAAGUAAAAUAUGACUCAAAUAUUUAUGAUUUUCACAACAAUAUGAAUAAACACAUAAAUGAUGGUCCAUGUACAAACUUGAAUGAUAAAGCUAAUGGGAUUUCGUCUUUUUUCCUUUUUUCAAUAUUCCAUAUAGAAACUUGAACGGUCAAGGUAAUGUGAUUCCAUCUUUUUUUUUUUUUUUUAAUUUUAUAUUUUGAAGGGUAAGGUUAAUGGGAUUCCAUUCCUUUUUUUAAAAAAAAUUAUAUUUAAUGCAAAAGCUACAUCAUGGUUUGCUCUUUGUUCUUCUAUCAUGAUUCACAUGGCAUAUGACAAAUCACCUGACUCUAGAUAUUAUUAUUAUUGUUAUCUUACAAAUGCAUUGAUUGAAUAUAAUAUAAGAUAAAAUAAGAGAGAAAAUAACAUAUUUUAUUCUAUAUUUGGUUGGUAAUGGAAUAAGAUAAAUUACUCUUUCUUUAUCUUAUCCUAUAUUUAACCAAAUAUGAAAUACAAUAAAUAGUGAGAUAAAUUAUUCAUAUUUUUUAUAUUCUUUCCACAUAAAAUAUAUUAAUCCUAAGUUAAUAUUUAAAAUUUAUUUUGUAAAAUAAAAAUUUUGAUUAAAAAUUUAAAUUUGUGGUCAAAAAAAGAUUAAAAAAAAUUGUACAAUAAAAAAUUAAAUUUGUAGUAAAAAAAGAAUUUAUAAAAUAUAUUAUAAAAUAAUACUAAUAUAUGUAUUCUUUAAUAUAUAAAAAAUGAAUAAAUUAAAUAAUAUAAUAUACAUUUGUUUUUAUUUAUAAAUUUUAAAUAUUUUAACCAUGAAUAUUGUGAAUGAAUAAAUAAACAAACAAAUAAAUAAAUAUUUACUAAAUUUUAAAUUAUUGAACAAUUUUAUAGAAAUUUCAUAAUUUUUUAGCGGAUGAUAUUUUAGGAUAUGUAUAUCAUAUCCACGUAAUAUUCAACAAUUAUGUAUAUCUUAAGAUAAACAUGUCAUAUCCCUGUAAUAUCCAUGUAACAUCCUUAUAAUAUCCUAUGAUAUUAUAUAUAAUGCUUUUUUUUUAUUUUACAAAAAAAAACAUAUAAGUAUGACAUAGUAUAUCUCAUUAAAUAUAAUAGAUUGAGAUAUCAAUGUCCAUUAGAUAUAAUAUUAAAGAAUAUCAUAUCUCAUUUAAAAUGAUAUCCUAAAAUAUUCAUAUCAUAGUCAUAUAAUAUUCAAAGAUUAUAUAUAUCCUAGGAUAAACAUGUCACAUCUAUAAAUUAUUUUACAGUUAUAAAAAUCAAAUGUGCAAAGAAAUACAUAACUUCAAACUCUUGAAUAUAAUCAAGUCAAAAUAAGUAUAUUAUCAUUUACUCUCCAAGUUAAAAGAGCCCCUCCAUGUAAUGUUGGCAUACUAAUUAUAAAUUUGAGUCCAAGAUUAGAUAAGACUAAUGUUAGUAAAUUGUCAGGUGGUUUUCUAUAUAAAUACUAUUCAUACAUGAAUAAUGGACCCGGGGUCAUGAUUUUUUCCCUUUGUCAACUUUUCAUUAUUAAUAAUGACUUGAUGUUUCUCUCUUACUUUUUUUUUUUUUACAUCAAUUUCUCAAUAAGAUCAAUGCGUGAUGGAUCCCGUAUUUGUUGUAGCUUAUAUAUUCACAUAUGCAACUUUCUUGAUUGCAUAGCUAGAACAAGGCAAAGACAUAUGGGCUAUUUCUAAGUUUUUGCGGCCACAUAACAUAUUAAAUUGGUUCAGACGAUAAUUGAUUUUUUUUCUAUUGGUUUUAACUCUCCUUUUAUAAUAAAAUAUUUUGAACACUUGAAAAGGUGAGGUUUUUAUGACAUUUUUUAUGAAUUACUAAUUUGAUGAAAUCCUUAUCUCAUCAAUUGUACGACAUGGGUAACAAUUUUUGUUAAUAUCAUAUCAAGAAAUGAAAACAUUAUUAAAAACUUUAAAAGAGUUAGCAUUAUGUCAUUAUUGGUAUAUGAUUCGACUUUAUGUCACUAUUGAUAUAUUAUUCGACAUUUUGUCAGUAUUGGUAUAUGAUUCAAUGUGAAUAAGACUUUUCAUUCUAUUAGAUCUAAAAUUAUUUUUUAUAAAACAAUUUUCCCACCCCUAAGGAAAGAAAAGCUGAUUCUAGAAAAAUGAUAUGAAAUUUCUUGGAUUUUAGAAAAACAACAUGAAAUUUUGAAUAUUUUACAAGCGAUACGAGUUAAAGACAAUUAAUUAAUAUUACAACAAAUAAAUCUAAAAUGUACUUGAAGUGUGAAAAAAUCUAAUGUUUUAAUUGGAUGAUUAAUAUUAAAUGGAAAUAAACAAUCCAAAUAGAGUUAAGGUCGUUAGGAGAGAAGUAUUUGUACAUAGGGACAAGAUCAAUGCCUUUUGCCAACUUGUCAUCAAGAGAGAAAUAUUUAUUAUCAACUUGUCAUUGAUUAACGACGUGAUGUUUUUCUCUUCCAUAUUUUCAUUUUUGACAUCAAUUUCUUAAUAAGAUCAAUGCAUGAUAUGCUCUAUAAUUUGUUGUAGGUUAUAUAUUAACAUAUGUGACUUUCUUGAUUGCAUAGCUAGAAUAGGGUAAAGACAUAUGGCUAUUUCUAAGUUUUUGUUGUCACACAACAUAUUAAAUUGGUUCCUCAACGAUAAUUGAUUUUUUUUUCAAUUGGUUUUAACUUUCCCUUUAUAAUCAAAUAUCUUGAACACUUAAAAAAGUGAGAUUUUUAUGACCUUUUUUUAUGAAUUGCUAAUUUGAUGAAAUCUUUAUCUUAUCAAUCGUAGAACGUGGAUAACAAAUGUUGUUAAUAUCAUAUCAAUAAAUGAAAGCAUGAUUAAAAGCUUUAAAAGAGUUAACAUUAUGUCACUAUUGGUAUAUGAUUCAACAUUAUGUCACUAUUGGUAUAUGAUUCGAUAUUAUGUCACUAUUAGUAUAUGAUUUGACGUUAUGUCCCUAUUAGUAUGUUAUUCGACAUUAUGCCACUAUUGGUAUAUAAUUCGAUGUGAAUAAGACUUUUCGUUCAAUUUGACUUAAACAAUGGGCAAGGUGAAUUAUAGGAAAUUCUCAUACUUGUAAAUUUUUCAACAUAUUUCAACUUUUUCCAUUUUUUUUAUUUUUAAAAUUUUAAAUUUUAUUAAAAACAAAUAUAAUUUAUAAAUAAAAAUAUUAUAAAUAUUUAUAAUUUAUUUUUAUGAAAAUUAAUAUUUUAUUUAUGUUUAAAAUUUUGAAAAAUAAAAAAAUAUCAAAAAUAAUUUUUUUUAUUUAAAAUUAUGUUUAAUCGCAAGUGGGACAAAGUCAUAUUUGAACUCAUCCCCACCCCUACAACUCCAGGUUUUUUAAAACUUCUCAAAUCUGUCCUGUUUAUAUUUAUCUCAAACCUUCACAUCUACUAAAGUAAGAUUAAGUGAAUAAUUCAAUUUACAUAUGCAUUUUUACUCAAAUAUAUAUAUAUAUAGAAACUGAGUUUAGAGAUUGAAAAAAAAAAAACAAAGGAUUUUAGUCUCCACAAACGAUGGAUGGAUGAAAUCAAAAGCAGCAAGCCGGAAGUCACUCCUAACAACUAGAAGCAUAACAUAAUCUCCAUUCAGAGAUUAAACAUGACCUUGAUGGCAUUACCCCCACGAGCACUGGUUUCAAAGGCUUCUUCCACGUCCUUCUGUGAGAAAGUAAACCUGUGGGUUAUCAGGGGUUUAACAUCAAUCUUGCCACUCCUCAAAAACUCAAGGCAGAGCGGCCAUGUGUUCCUAUAGCGGAAUAUGCCAACGAUAUCGACCUCCCUGUUGCCCCAAAAGAAAAACCGCAAUCAGUAAACAUACAAAAUCAAGCCCUAAACAAAAGUAGAAGCAUAGAAUAGAAAGAACAUGGAGGUCAAUGUAACUCUGUUUUAGCAAAAACAGAGCAGUGGGUGGGGUGGGGGGUGUUCUUCCCAAAUUUAACACCUAGAAGUAUGGUUAGUUUAUUAAUGGAACAGAGAAGGAAAAGAAAACCAACAAUUCUGCAACUUCAUGAAUGUAGUUGACAAACAGAGAAAUCAUAGAUCAAAUACCUGGCAGCAGCUGGAGUGAGAGGAACAGUCAUCUCACUCUGGGCCAAACCCACAAGGCAAACUUUGCCGCCUGCUCGAGUCGCGUUCAAAGCUGUUGACAUGGUUUUGUUGAAGCCAACACAGUCUAAGCUCACAUCAACUCCAGUAACCAUUGUGCUUUGUAUUUUUGCCACUUCUUCGUCUAGAUCCUUCAAAGGUCAAAACCAGUUGUAUUGUUAAAUGGAAAGAAAUGGAAUCCCUUGGCAAAUGACAGAUUUUUAAGGCCUUAGGUGUAUGCGAUAACUCCUGGUUCAACACCCCUGAUGCCUAGGCCUGAAAUGAAGGACAGAUACUUGUACAUAGUUAAACCAAACC
Molecule: long non-coding RNA, 12635 nt
Filed under: Vitis vinifera (wine grape)
Lineage: Eukaryota; Viridiplantae; Streptophyta; Magnoliopsida; Vitales; Vitaceae
Description: long non-coding RNA (VVIN_LNC005481)
Source: RNAcentral